CCUACGGUGGCUGCAGUGGGGAAUAUUGGACAAUGGGCGAAAGCCUGAUCCAGCCAUGCCGCGUGUGUGAAGAAGGCCUUCGGGUUGUAAAGCACUUUCAGUGGGGAAGAAAGCCUUGGGGCUAAUACCCUCGAGGAAGGACAUCACCCACAGAAGAAGCACCGGCUAACUCCGUGCCAGCAGCCGCGGUAAUACGGAGGGUGCGGGCGUUAAUCGGAAUUACUGGGCGUAAAGCGCGCGUAGGCGGUCUGAUAAGCCGGUUGUGAAAGCCCCGGGCUCAACCUGGGAACGGCAUCCGGAACUGUCAGGCUAGAGUGCAGGAGAGGAAGGUAGAAUUCCCGGUGUAGCGGUGAAAUGCGUAGAGAUCGGGAGGAAUACCAGUGGCGAAGGCGGCCUUCUGGACUGACACUGACGCUGAGGUGCGAAAGCGUGGGUAGCAAACAGGAUUAGAUACCCCAGUAGUC
RNAcentral lists this ribosomal RNA (464 nucleotides) under Vreelandella stevensii. Its description in RNAcentral is "partial 16S ribosomal RNA". It matches the Rfam family "Bacterial small subunit ribosomal RNA", at positions 338 to 795 of the family's 1533-position model. The record is from RNAcentral. Lineage: Bacteria; Pseudomonadati; Pseudomonadota; Gammaproteobacteria; Oceanospirillales; Halomonadaceae.